CUCCCCUUUUCCUGGAGCCUCAGCCUCUGGUGAAACUGGACUUUCAAGUCUGUGCAGGUGAAGGUGUGUGAGAGCGCCCGAGAUGGCAGAACAAGAGCUACAGGGUACAAGCCCAAGGGACGAGCUGCGCGGUGAUUGGCUGCGGAGCUCCCUCAGGUGAGCUGCCAUUGGCAGAGGCGCACUCAGGUACUAUGUAGUUUACAGAUUUUCAGAUAGG
Dipodomys spectabilis (banner-tailed kangaroo rat) is the source of this 217-nucleotide long non-coding RNA. RefSeq lists it as uncharacterized. The transcript is spliced from 3 exons. Lineage: Eukaryota; Metazoa; Chordata; Mammalia; Rodentia; Heteromyidae. The record is from RefSeq and is a predicted model, not a curated record.